This 234-nucleotide ribosomal RNA is filed under the name uncultured bacterium. Its description in RNAcentral is "partial 16S ribosomal RNA". It matches the Rfam family "Bacterial small subunit ribosomal RNA", at positions 100 to 334 of the family's 1533-position model. The record is from RNAcentral.
CGGGACGGGUGAGUAAUGUCUGGGAAACUGCCUGAUGGGAGGGGGUAACUACUGGAAACGGUAGCUAAUACCGCAUAACGUCGCAAGACCAAAGAGGGGGGACUUCGGGGCUCUUUGCCAUCGGAUGUGCCCAGAUGGGAUUAGCUAGUAGGUGGGGUAACGGCUCACCUAGGCGACGAUCCCUAGCUGGUCUGAGAGGAUGACCAGCCACACUGGAACUGAGACACGGUCCAG